CUUCAUAAUAUUAUGAAUAUUUGAACAUAUUAAAAAUAACAAGGGACAAAUUAUAUUACACGACGGAUUAUAUGGCAUGACGGGUUUGAAUUAACAUUAAUAAAAAUUUAAAAUAUCAUUAACUUACCGCUUCAAUACGGAUUAAUUCCAAAUUUAUUAUUUUUUAACACCAUGAUUAGGCCUGGGAUAAUUACCCGAACCAAAAAUUCUGACCCGACCGAACCGAUAAAAUUGAAUUCGGUUCACAAUCGGCUACUACACAGAAACCGAUCGGAAUUUCAAAUAAUCUUCGGUUUUCUCGCCGGGUCGGGUCGGUCGGUUAUUCUGAUCGGUUAACCAAAAAUUUUAACCUAACUAUAACUACCUAAUUCUAACCCUAAACGACACUCAACCUCCAACCUCUCUCACCUUUGGUCGUUCUCAUCUCUCAAUUUUCUCUAUCGCAACCUAAUCUCACUGAGACAUUGAAGCUCAAUCUUGUCUUCUUCCUUCAAUUCUCAGCCUUUCUUAUUUCUUCAUCUUUCGUUCUAGCCUUCUAGGAAAAGACUCUUGUCCGUGUUCAUCCCUCGUUCUCAGUUUGGGUAAGGAUUUGAGAUUCAAGAUCUUGGAUGUCAAACCGUCUUUCUUCUCCGCCGCUGCAACCGCUUC
This is a long non-coding RNA of Arabidopsis lyrata subsp. lyrata, 648 nucleotides long. RefSeq lists it as uncharacterized. The record is from RefSeq and is a predicted model, not a curated record. The transcript has 2 exons. NCBI's taxonomy places the organism in Eukaryota, Viridiplantae, Streptophyta, Magnoliopsida, Brassicales, Brassicaceae.